UGGACGAAAGUCUGAUGGAGCAACGCCGCGUGAGUGAAGAAGGCCUUCGGGUCGUAAAGCUCUGUUGUUAGGGAAGAACAAGUAUCGGAGCAACUGCCGGUACCUUGACGGUACCUAACCAGAAAGCCACGGCUAACUACGUGCCAGCAGCCGCGGUAAUACGUAGGGAGCGAGCGUUGUCCGGAUUUAUUGGGCGUAAAGGGCGUGUAGGCGGCCUGUUAAGUCUGAAGUGAAAAUCCAGGGCUCAACCCUGGAACUGCUUCGGAUACUGAUGGGCUUGAGUGCUCUAGAGGGUAGUGGAAUUGCCGGUGUAGCAGUGAAAUGCGUAGAGAUCGGCAGGAACACCAGUGGCGAAGGCGACUGCCUGGGGAGUAACUGACGCUGAGGCGCGAAAGCUGGGGGAGCAAACGGGAUUAGAUACCCCGGUAGUCCCAGCCGUAAACGAUGAGUGCUAGGUGUAGCGGGUAUCGACCCCCGCUGUGCCGCAGUUAACGCAUUAAGCACUCCGCCUGGGGAGUA
Molecule: ribosomal RNA, 519 nt
Filed under: uncultured bacterium
Lineage: Bacteria
Description: bacterial SSU rRNA
Rfam family: Bacterial small subunit ribosomal RNA
Source: RNAcentral